GCCUUAUCAGAGUGCCUGAGCCAAAGAGGGAACUGGAGAGUGAGCACUUUCCAACCACUUCAUCUGAACAACAGACAGAUUGGCAGGAAAGGCCUGUCAGCCCUUUGCCUCUGCCACCCAGGCAGCCCCCCAUCCGUGCAAAAAACCCGGUUGAGGAAGGGGAAGUUGGAGAUGACAGAGCAUUCCUGUUCCUGAAAGGGCCCCAUCCUGAGAGCGUGGACAUGGUGAAGCAGUGUGUCAAUCAGACAUCCCUGCCUCAGCUCCUUAUUUAGAUCCAGCCUGCAGCAGCUUCAAGAUCUGCAGAGAGGGAGUCCCUGUUUUGGGGUGAGAACCUGAUUGGCCUCAGCAGGAUCUGUCACCCACACAAUGACAUCUUUGUGGUGAAG
Molecule: long non-coding RNA, 386 nt
Filed under: Chloebia gouldiae (Gouldian finch)
Lineage: Eukaryota; Metazoa; Chordata; Aves; Passeriformes; Passeridae
Description: Erythrura gouldiae (Gouldian finch) lncRNA (ENSEGOG00005006072.1)
Source: RNAcentral